CGGCCUGCUGCUUUGCGGGAGGAGGUGCAGGUAGGAACCGGCUGCUCGGGAUCCGCGUCCAUCGGCGGCGGGAGCAGUGACCGGGACCCCAUCGGCCCCUGUCUGCACCCGGCAGAUACCCAUCCUCCUCGCCUGAUCCUUAUCUGGCGGAGUUUAUUCCCGAUUAUCCGUCGGGAGCGGGUGCCGCCGCUAACAGGAGCCCUUUCGGGACCUGGAAGGUGGCAGCAUGAUGAUAUGGGCAAGGAAGAAUGGCUCCCCGAAAAGGAAAGGAGAAGAGCAGGUGAUGAGUUUGGGAGCAGAGGUGGCUGAGAGGGUUUUCAACGACACCUUUGUCCGUGUAACAGACCUGUUUGGCAAAAUGGCUCUCUGAAAAGGAAAGGAGAAGAAGGAAGAGCAGGUGAUCAGUUUGGGACCACAGGUGGCCGAGGGGGAAAUUGGAUUUGGAGUUUGCUGCCUCUCUGCUUCCUUCAACGACACCUUUGUCCACGUAAUGGACCUGUCCGGCAAAAUGGCCCCCUAGAAAGGGAAGGAGAAGAAGAAAGAGGAGGUGAUCAGUUUGGGACCACAGGUGGCCGAGGGGGAAAUUGUAUUCGGAGUUUGCUGCCUCUCUGCUUCCUUCAACGACACCUUUGUCCAUGUAACGGACCUGUUCGGCAACCACAAGAGGUGUCAACAAAAGAGGAACUGGACUGUACACAUGUUAAAGUUUUAAUGAUUGCUGUGCUGCUUUCUUUCUGAAUGACUCCCCAAAAAUGACAGAAGAAAGAAGAACAGGUGAUCGGUUUGGGACUUCGGUUGGCUGACGGGGAGAAUGUAUUCGGAGUUUGCCACAUCAUUGCUUCCUUCAGUGACACCUCUGCCCACGUAAUGGACCUGUCCGAUGAUGUGGAAGCAUUGCUGAUGGGUUAUGAUGCUGUGAGAACCCUGGUGCUGCACUGGACGCUUGUGAAGAUCGACAUACAUUUCCAUCUCUCUGCUUCAGGAGGACCAAGCUGGAUCUUUGGGCAGGGGAUUUUUCCCCUGUACAGCCCUUGUUGACCACCUGAAAGGGCUGCUCCUCGAGUUCUGGCAGCACUUCAUCCCAGCACUCCUGAUCUAUGGGCUUGCAGUACAGAGGGCGUGUGGGUUGCUCAGGUAUUACCUGGUAGGCCUGCUCCUGAGGCUGGCCAAUAUGGUCAUUAUGGUCAUACAUGGGUUCAGGCAGUGGGCUGCUUGCUCCUCUUUGGGGUUGUGUCUAUACCUGGGUCUCCUUGGAGAGGAUCUAUGGACAUGGGGGAUUUCUGAGAAUGGUGCCCCUCUCUUCCCAGAAUUGAGUGUUUUGUAGACAAUGGGAAUUGUAUUUUAAUUUGAAAUUGUUAUUAGAUUUGUAAACCCCUGCCCAUUGUAUGUACGGUAUUUUGUGAUUCAAUAAACUUGCAAGGUUGUGAAAAGAGAGGACCAGACGGGUGUGA
This is a long non-coding RNA of Mobula hypostoma (lesser devil ray), 1451 nucleotides long. RefSeq lists it as uncharacterized. The record is from RefSeq and is a predicted model, not a curated record. Lineage: Eukaryota; Metazoa; Chordata; Chondrichthyes; Myliobatiformes; Myliobatidae. The transcript is spliced from 8 exons.